AUAGGAUAGAUACUGGUCAGUUAGAGACAGUAGGAUAGAUAGAUACUGGUCAGUUAGAGACAGUAGGAUAGAUAGAUACUGGUCAGUUAGAGACAGUAGGACAGAUAGAUACUGGUCAGUUAGAGACAGUAGGAUAGAUAGAUACUGGUCAGUUAGAGACAGUAGGAUAGAUAGAUACUGGUCAGUUAGAGACAGUAGGACAGAUAGAUACUGGUCAGUUAGAGACAGUAGGAUAGAUACUGGUCAGUUAGAGACAGUAGGACAGAUAGAUACUGGUCAGUUAGAGACAGUAGGACAGAUAGAUACUGGUCAGUUAGAGACAGUAGGACAGAUACUGGUCAGUUAGAGACAGUAGGACAGAUAGAUGGUCAGUUAGAGACAGUAGGACAGAUACUGGUCAGUUAGAGACAGUAGAUAGAUACUGGUCAGUUAGAGACAGUAGGACAGAUACUGGUCAGUUAGAGACAGUAGGAUAGAUAGAUACUGGUCAGUUAGAGACAGUAGGAUAGAUAGAUACUGGUCAGUUAGAGACAGUAGGACAGAUAGAUACUGGUCAGUUAGAGACAGUAGGAUAGAUAGAUACUGGUCAGUUAGAGACAGUAGGAUAGAUAGAUACUGGUCAGUUAGAGACAGUAGGAUAGAUACUGGUCAGUUAGAGACAG
This is a long non-coding RNA of Oncorhynchus tshawytscha (Chinook salmon), 662 nucleotides long. Lineage: Eukaryota; Metazoa; Chordata; Actinopteri; Salmoniformes; Salmonidae. The record is from Ensembl.